UCCCUCAUACCUCAGUUGGUAAAGAGUCUGCCUGCAAUGCAGGAGACCUGGGUUCGAUUCCUGGGUUGGGAA
Molecule: transfer RNA, 72 nt
Filed under: Bos taurus (domestic cattle)
Lineage: Eukaryota; Metazoa; Chordata; Mammalia; Artiodactyla; Bovidae
Also listed under: 4 other names
Rfam family: tRNA
About the family: Transfer RNA (tRNA) molecules are approximately 80 nucleotides in length.
Source: Rfam by way of RNAcentral